Molecule: ribosomal RNA, 59 nt
Filed under: Metastelma harleyi
Lineage: Eukaryota; Viridiplantae; Streptophyta; Magnoliopsida; Gentianales; Apocynaceae
Description: partial 26S ribosomal RNA
Source: RNAcentral
CCCCAGGUCAGGCGGGGCUACCCGCUGAGUUUAAGCAUAUCAAUAAGCGGAGGAGAAGA